AAGCAGUCUUGACUCUGUCUUGGCACGGUGAAGUUGUUGUAACCUGCUAGCAGGGCGGGCAACUCGAGCAGUGAAGAUACUUUGCUACUGUAUGCGAGGCACGU
Long non-coding RNA from Melitaea cinxia (Glanville fritillary), 104 nucleotides. RefSeq lists it as uncharacterized. Lineage: Eukaryota; Metazoa; Arthropoda; Insecta; Lepidoptera; Nymphalidae. The record is from RefSeq and is a predicted model, not a curated record. The transcript has 3 exons.